UUUAUGGAGAGUUUGAUCCUGGCUCAGGAUGAACGCUGGCGGCGUGCCUAAUACAUGCAAGUCGAGCGAACGGACGAGAAGCUUGCUUCUCUGAUGUUAGCGGCGGACGGGUGAGUAACACGUGGAUAACCUACCUAUAAGACUGGGAUAACUUCGGGAAACCGGAGCUAAUACCGGAUAAUAUUUUGAACCGCAUGGUUCAAAAGUGAAAGACGGUCUUGCUGUCACUUAUAGAUGGAUCCGCGCUGCAUUAGCUAGUUGGUAAGGUAACGGCUUACCAAGGCAACGAUGCAUAGCCGACCUGAGAGGGUGAUCGGCCACACUGGAACUGAGACACGGUCCAGACUCCUACGGGAGGCAGCAGUAGGGAAUCUUCCGCAAUGGGCGAAAGCCUGACGGAGCAACGCCGCGUGAGUGAUGAAGGUCUUCGGAUCGUAAAACUCUGUUAUUAGGGAAGAACAUAUGUGUAAGUAACUGUGCACAUCUUGACGGUACCUAAUCAGAAAGCCACGGCUAACUACGUGCCAGCAGCCGCGGUAAUACGUAGGUGGCAAGCGUUAUCCGGAAUUAUUGGGCGUAAAGCGCGCGUAGGCGGUUUUUUAAGUCUGAUGUGAAAGCCCACGGCUCAACCGUGGAGGGUCAUUGGAAACUGGAAAACUUGAGUGCAGAAGAGGAAAGUGGAAUUCCAUGUGUAGCGGUGAAAUGCGCAGAGAUAUGGAGGAACACCAGUGGCGAAGGCGACUUUCUGGUCUGUAACUGACGCUGAUGUGCGAAAGCGUGGGGAUCAAACAGGAUUAGAUACCCUGGUAGUCCACGCCGUAAACGAUGAGUGCUAAGUGUUAGGGGGUUUCCGCCCCUUAGUGCUGCAGCUAACGCAUUAAGCACUCCGCCUGGGGAGUACGACCGCAAGGUUGAAACUCAAAGGAAUUGACGGGGACCCGCACAAGCGGUGGAGCAUGUGGUUUAAUUCGAAGCAACGCGAAGAACCUUACCAAAUCUUGACAUCCUUUGACAACUCUAGAGAUAGAGCCU
This 1032-nucleotide ribosomal RNA is filed under the name Staphylococcus aureus. Its description in RNAcentral is "bacterial SSU rRNA". It matches the Rfam family "Bacterial small subunit ribosomal RNA", at positions 1 to 1014 of the family's 1533-position model. Lineage: Bacteria; Bacillati; Bacillota; Bacilli; Caryophanales; Staphylococcaceae. The record is from RNAcentral.